Molecule: ribosomal RNA, 421 nt
Filed under: uncultured bacterium
Lineage: Bacteria
Description: bacterial SSU rRNA
Rfam family: Bacterial small subunit ribosomal RNA
Source: RNAcentral
AAGGAAUAUUGGUCAAUGGGCGCAAGCCUGAACCAGCCAUGCCGCGUGAAGGAAGAAGGCCCUAUGGGUUGUAAACUUCUUUUGUACGGGAAAAAACCUCUGGUCGAGCAUCAGAGCUGAUGGUACCGUAAGAAUAAGCAUCGGCUAACUCCGUGCCAGCAGCCGCGGUAAUACGGAGGAUGCAAGCGUUAUCCGGAUUCAUUGGGUUUAAAGGGUGCGCAGGCGGAGUGAUAAGUCAGUGGUGAAAGCCUACAGCUUAACUGUAGAACUGCCAUUGAUACUGUCAUUCUUGAGUAUUGUUGAGGUAGGCGGAAUGUGUCAUGUAGCGGUGAAAUGCUUAGAUAUGACACAGAACACCGAUCGCGAAGGCAGCUUACCAAGCAAUAACUGACGCUCAUGCACGAAAGCGUGGGGAUCAAAC